AUGCUAACUCCUAGAAACAAUCCACUGAACAGAGAAAAUCUGCAGCUUGUCUUAAAAUCAGACUAAAGCAUUUACUUUUACUGCAAUUUAAAUAUAAAAUCUCCUUAUCCACAUUUAUCAUCUCUUGUCAUCACUGCUUUUUUCAUCUCCUUGAAGCUUUAAUUUUGGGCAUGCUGAUUUGUUGUGAUUACCUGAUUGUUUGGGCUUUGUUGAGCACAACUUUAAGCUGAAGAGUCUCAGAAGACCUGUGUUAACCUCUUGUCAGACAAUGUGCGCCUUUUGGGUUGGUUAAGAGAACUUUUAUGAAAACUUUGAACCACAGAAAUCUGGUUGAAUUAACGAACACAUUUGAAUAUGUUGGAUGUGCCAUAAACUAGGUGUUCUGGAGGGCACACCAAGAUGUCUCAAAUAAGGUAGAAAAAUGAUAAAAGUUUUAAAUACAGGAAAGCAAUCAACUUUGGGCGUGUUGCUGGGAAUGGUUCCUUAGAGGUGGUGAACUGAAACUUCAUGUAUUACUGGAUAACAAUGACACCUAUGGCAUGUUUAGAUGAAAUAUUACUAUCAAGGGAUAAUUCUCUUGACCAGAGCAUGUAAAGUACCCCUGAAACAUAUAGCCCCCUAUGGCUUCAGAACAAUGGAGGACAUUCUCCUUGAGCUCAAGUUGUACCAUUGGGUGUGAAGAUUUCCAAUGAAUUGUAAUAGAGAACUUGUUUUUAAAGAUUGAGAAAACUGAAUCUGCCAGUCCUGACAAGGAUUUAGAAAAUUGCUGCCAAGAAUAAAUAUGAAACAGGGAUAUUGAAUUUUGCAGAUAGGUAAAUGAAGGAACCUGAAUGAUUCAUUUUAGCACUGUGAAAAUAUUUUGUGUGCCAUAGUAAUCUAUUGAAUCUUCAAUGUAAGUCUUAAUGACACUUGAAGGAAUUUUUAAGCAUAAUACAGUAAUUUUUUAUUUUAAGCAAGUAUAUGUUUGUAGUUACAUUUCCUAUGGCUUAAUGGAUUUGUAUUUAACUAUAUCCCUAUUCACCUGGCCAUAAUUUUCACUAAAGGUUAAAUUUGAGACAGCUGACAGGUAUACUGGCACCAGGGAGCAGGAACAUUUAGGUCAGAUAGGACAUUACUAUUUCAUUGGGAGUGGUUGCAAUUGUACUGUCAUUUCUGUCAGCAGUAAGGGUUUUAGUGUGCUUUCUGGUUGUUUCUAUUUGGUUUUGACUGUUAAAAGAUGCCUUUUGGUUUUAUUUUUUUAGUGAGACUGAGUGAGUAUCUGGGUGCUAAUCAUGCCGUUCCUACAAGUUACAUGCCAUUUGCCAUAGGCAUUUUUGCAUUUUGUGAUUCUAAAAGAAAGCUAGAAUUUUUAUGCACAAUGCUUUCUUGCAUAGCUUAAGAUCUACAGAGAGUACAAUUGAAAGUCUUCUGUAUUUCAGUGGAAUUUAGACAGUUCUUAGAUAGCAUAGUUGUAAAGCAAUGUUGAUUGACCCAGUGCCGUGAACUAUGCUGUGAUGAGAAGAAACUAUGUGAAACACUUAUAGUAUUUUAACUAGAAUUAAGUUAUGGUCAACCUACCUAAAAUGUAAAUAGGAUGAUAUUUGCCGUCUUUACAGGAUUAUUUUUAAAGGCUAACUACUCUUGAGGAGCUACUGUACUUUUAUACUACUGAAAGAUACUUUUAUACAUUACACUUAAAGAUGAUAUGCAAAUUAUAGUUCAAUUUUUAAUAUUAGAUCUUUCCCAGAUGUUAAAGUAGAAUGGAAAUUGCUAUCUAUAACCAAACCACUAUGUCAGAUGAAAACUUCUUAGCUAAAAUUGUUAAUACCAAAUAACAGUAACUUCUCAAAUAAUAGCUCCUGGUUAUGUUAGACACUUAGUUCUUCGAGUUAGUCUUUUUUUUUUUUUUUUUUUUUCCCCUGGAAAUUUUUAAAAAUUUUUUUUUUUUUUUUUUUUUUUUUUUUUUUUUUUUUUAAAUUUUUUUUUUUUUUUUUUUUUUCCCCCUGGAAAGUUUUCAAAAAGCUAUUCCUCAGUGUAUUUUUCUAACUGGUUUUCUUUAAAGAUUAUUACUUUAGUCAAAUGAUAAAAAUUACUUCUUAAUGUCCUUGAAAUAGCAUUAAUUAUUUUCCUUGAAUGAAUAUACCGUAUUUUAUGCAGUUAGGUGUAUUCCCGAAAAUUAGUGGACUUUAUUGAAUUAUUGAAAAUACCUCAUUAAAACAUCUAUUGUAAAAGUACUGCUGCUGAUCUUUAAUUAACAGCUUUUUAUGUGUAUGGAAAAUGGCAAAAUCUGUAGCUGUUCAUUGUGUAAAUUUUCAUCUGAUUAGAUUUUCCAAAAUUGAAGUGUGGAGACCUUGAAUCAGUGAUAGAUUUCAAAAUUCACAUCUAAAUGGUGGGGGAAAGAUAUGGUUGAGAUGUUUCUAGCUUGCUUGCUUUCUUGUCACCUGUUGAACUUUCUAACUUGUUUUUAGAUGAUUUUUUGGGCUUGAUUUAGAUGUGCAUUUUUAUAGGGUUUUUGUUUUAAAAAAAAAUCUUGUGGAGGUCGUUUGGAUAUAGGUUUUUAUUUUUAUUUUUUUUAUUUUUUAUUUUUUGGGAGGGGGGUAUGUGAUAAGUCAUUACCCUAAUUUUGACAAACCAUGGUUUUGAGUUUAUAAUUGAUAUCCAUUAGACCUGGAAUUAAUAUCAGCAAAUUUAUAUUUACACAUUUGUAAUAUCUGUAAAUUUAUAGUAGUCUGUAUGCAAGUGUCGGAACUAGUUUUUGUGAUUCUUGGCAUUAGUGAAGUAAUAUGACAUCAUUUGCUCCUUGUUCAUUCUUUUUCCCAUUUAUAUCAUCUAUCACAUUUUGAUGGUCCUCCUUGUUUAGCAUAAAUAGCUGCACUUCACCUUGAAGUUGGAAAUAAGAAAGUUGCCAUUUUAAUGUCAUGACAUUAUAUAGUCCAUCAGUGAUGCAUUUUUUUAUAGAGAUAUACCAGCCAAUAAGCCUCAGUUAUGUUCUUCCAAUUUGUGUUUUCUGAUAUAGGCAGUUUAUCAAGUUUUAGCUAUAAGAAAUGUUUUUUGUGUGUCUGUUUUUAAAUUGUUCCUGGACAGGCAAAUCACUUGAUUUCUAAAUGCCAAGGAAAAUGUCCAUAUUGUCAGAUACUGCUAAGGCAUUAUUUGAUAUUUAGGAUGCUUUAGAGAUUUUGCAGAUUUUUUCUUAUGGAAGCAUUUUAAUAUCUUAAAGUGGGAAAUUUUAACAUUUGCCAAUAUUAAAUUUUUUUUUAACUUUUUCUUCCUGUAGAAUUUAAAAUACCUUAGUUUUCUUUUCUU
Cebus imitator (Panamanian white-faced capuchin) is the source of this 3282-nucleotide long non-coding RNA. RefSeq lists it as uncharacterized. The transcript is spliced from 2 exons. The record is from RefSeq and is a predicted model, not a curated record. Lineage: Eukaryota; Metazoa; Chordata; Mammalia; Primates; Cebidae.